GUCACUCUCCCGGCAGCACAUAUACUAAAACUGCCAUGAUAUAGAGAAGAUUAGCAUGACCCUGAUCAAGGAUGACAUGCACAUUUGUGAAGCGUUACAUAUUUGG
Small nuclear RNA from Lepisosteus oculatus (spotted gar), 106 nucleotides. NCBI's taxonomy places the organism in Eukaryota, Metazoa, Chordata, Actinopteri, Semionotiformes, Lepisosteidae. The record is from Ensembl.